This 1034-nucleotide ribosomal RNA is filed under the name Hirsutella thompsonii. RNAcentral describes it as "SSU rRNA". It matches the Rfam family "Eukaryotic small subunit ribosomal RNA", at positions 58 to 1104 of the family's 1831-position model. The record is from RNAcentral. Lineage: Eukaryota; Fungi; Ascomycota; Sordariomycetes; Hypocreales; Ophiocordycipitaceae.
CUAAAGUAUAAGCAAUUAUACAGCGAAACUGCGAAUGGCUCAUUAUAUAAGUUAUCGUUUAUUUGAUAGUACCUUACUACUUGGAUAACCGUGGUAAUUCUAGAGCUAAUACAUGCUGAAAAUCCCGACUUCGGAAGGGAUGUAUUUAUUAGAUUCAAAACCAAUGCCCUCUGGGCUCACUGGUGAUUCAUGAUAACUCUUCGAAUCGCAUGGCCUUGCGCCGGCGAUGGUUCAUUCAAAUUUCUUCCCUAUCAACUUUCGAUGUUUGGGUAGUGGCCAAACAUGGUUGCAACGGGUAACGGAGGGUUAGGGCUCGACCCCGGAGAAGGAGCCUGAGAAACGGCUACUACAUCCAAGGAAGGCAGCAGGCGCGCAAAUUACCCAAUCCCGACACGGGGAGGUAGUGACAAUAAAUACUGAUACAGGGCUCUUUUGGGUCUUGUAAUUGGAAUGAGUACAAUUUAAAUCCCUUAACGAGGAACAAUUGGAGGGCAAGUCUGGUGCCAGCAGCCGCGGUAAUUCCAGCUCCAAUAGCGUAUAUUAAAGUUGUUGUGGUUAAAAAGCUCGUAGUUGAACCUUGGGCCUGGCUGGCCGGUCCGCCUCACCGCGUGUACUGGUCCGGCCGGGCCUUUCCCUCUGUGGAACCCCAUGCCCUUCACUGGGUGUGGCGGGGAAACAGGACUUUUACUUUGAAAAAAUUAGAGUGCUCCAGGCAGGCCUAUGCUCGAAUACAUUAGCAUGGAAUAAUGAAAUAGGACGCGCGGUUCUAUUUUGUUGGUUUCUAGGACCGCCGUAAUGAUUAAUAGGGACAGUCGGGGGCAUCAGUAUUCAAUUGUCAGAGGUGAAAUUCUUGGAUUUAUUGAAGACUAACUACUGCGAAAGCAUUUGCCAAGGAUGUUUUCAUUAAUCAGGAACGAAAGUUAGGGGAUCGAAGACGAUCAGAUACCGUCGUAGUCUUAACCAUAAACUAUGCCGACUAGGGAUCGGACGAUGUUAUUUUUUGACUCGUUCGGCACCUUACGAGAAAUCAAAGU